AGCGGGAAGCCCCUCCCAAGAUGAGAUCUCCCUGGGCACGUGAUGUCCCUGAAGGUCCGUUGAAGACCACGACGUUGAUAGGCGGGGUGUGGAAGCGCGGCAACGUGUGAAGCUAACCCGUACUAAUUGACCGUGCGGCUUGACCAU
Molecule: ribosomal RNA, 147 nt
Filed under: Chromatiales bacterium
Lineage: Bacteria; Pseudomonadati; Pseudomonadota; Gammaproteobacteria; Chromatiales
Description: partial 23S ribosomal RNA
Rfam family: Bacterial large subunit ribosomal RNA
Source: RNAcentral